ACUCGGCUAGUCGUCUACAUAGUAUGUCUCUGUUAAUCGAGCCAUAGGCCUUCCUGAAGUCUAUGAACGCUGCAAAUGUGGAUAGCUUCUUUUUCUUCCUCGUAUCGACGACAGACGUUAACAUUGAGAGGUGAUCCACCGUACUCCUGCCCUUCAUGAAGCCGUUCUGCUCCUCCACGAAUAUGUCAUUUCUCUCCGCCCAUGUUGUUAGUCUGUUGUUUAGUAUGUUGCAGUAGAGCUUGUAGACAACCGAUGACAGUGUAAUUCCUCUGUAAGAUAGUGGGUCUCUAGGAUCUGCACCGUUACCUUUAGGAAUAGGAACACGAUGCAACACCCUCUUCGGACACGCUGGGCAGUAAGCGUUAAACGUUCCAAAUCCUGUAUAUGAACUUAUCAAGUUUCAAAACAGACCAGGCUAACGAUCGAACACGAUGUUCGGCCUCAAAACAAAACCAGCUAAUGAUGCAACAGCCUGUUCGGCCGCGCUGACCGGUAAGAGUUCAACGUUCUAAAUCCUGUUUAUGAGGUAAUCGAGUGUCAAAACAGAACUGGCUAACAAUGCACCACCAUGCUCGGACGCGCUGACUGUUACUCUGUUUGGUAAGAUGUUACCAGAUAUGAAAAGGUAUAUUGUGUCACUAAUAUUAAUAGAGAGUAAAAUUAAUCCACGAAGCAAUAUAAGCAUGUACCGUUCUAGUAAACGGAAUCUCUGUCGGUCACUUUUCCGCUAAAGUUUUCAGAAUUUUUCGAGUAAGGGUUUCAAUGUAUUAUCAUACCAUCUGAAAACCACGGAAUCAUUUUUAAGCAUAUUCUUUUUACUGUAAUGUUUCACUAUUUUGUCGUUAGGAAUGCAGGGAGAUCGUUAACUACCGAAAUAUAGACACUGGUGUCUGAAAGUUACCGACAAUAGACUUUGUAUUAGACUAUAUUGUAGGAAUAUUGCAAACGUCCUAUUUGGACACAAAAUCGUGAAAGUCAGGCCAAAUUUGCGUGUAAAAAUCUAUAUUGUAUGAGUCGUGUAUAUGCAAUUUACCGGGUGCCUCUGUACUUAAGGCAAACCAGUGACUGCCUGGCUGCUCCUUGUCCGUGUAACAAAUAAACAGAAGAGGAUAUUUUAAUCCUUUCACCCCACCAAGCGUAAAGCUAUUUUAGUACAUAUCUCUUCCAAAGUAUCCCUGCUACUGAUACUGCGAUAGAUGUUUUUAAUAAAAGGGUCAACAACCGCAAAUCUCGCCCCUACAGCAUUUUAGUACGAGAGGUAACGUGUGUCCAUGAUCUGCAUCAGUGUAUAGUAGCAUUUCUAAAGUGGUCAAAUUCUAUGAUACUGUCCGCCAAUGCAGGUAGCAAAAGUAUAGUAAGUCUCCAUGGUCCCCUUGACAGGGUUUUAGAGAUUAUAUGUAUUUAUCAUGAAUUUAGAACUGAUUUUAGUCACGAUGUGGCUGAAAUAUUGCCGAUGUGACUUAACAUCUUAACUCACUCACUAGAAUACUGUCCAGCUCUCUCUAACAGACUAGUGUCUGAGCUCCGGGCGUUGGCUGCGCAAAUUUCAUCUCCAUGUCGACCUGACCAGAGUUUUUUUGUUACACGUGUGACAUGUCAGCACCCAAAUUGUACGUUAAAUCGAAGACAAAUAGGGUGGUACCGUCUAAAAUGUCCAGAGUCAUGGUGUCUGUGGAAUUUCUCCCUAGACACCCGUAUUUCUAAAUAGCUCCAGGUAUGUCUUAUACAUCCGGGUCGAGUCGGGUUCGAAAUUCCACAACUCAUAUCUACCUCCUGACCAUUUACUUUAACUGUAAUUUCGGUCAAUCCAAAAGGUUGGAAAUGUAAAGGAGUUUUGUUUGAUAGCCCCGCAAAGGAUUCGUUCUAUUCUUUUACGGAUAUGUCCCAUAAUCAAAUGUUCAGAAUUAUAUUCUCUCAAGAAUUCUGGAAUAUCGUAUGCCGUGUUUUGCUUGAAUAAAAAAAAAUUAAAACAUC
This is a long non-coding RNA of Haliotis rubra (blacklip abalone), 1974 nucleotides long. RefSeq lists it as uncharacterized. Lineage: Eukaryota; Metazoa; Mollusca; Gastropoda; Lepetellida; Haliotidae. The record is from RefSeq and is a predicted model, not a curated record. The transcript is spliced from 2 exons.